UAGAGGUAUAUAUAUAUUGGCUGCUAACUGAUAAUUUAGCGGUUUUCCGUUUAUCUCUUG
RNAcentral lists this transfer RNA (60 nucleotides) under Tituria sagittata. RNAcentral describes it as "tRNA-Ser". Lineage: Eukaryota; Metazoa; Arthropoda; Insecta; Hemiptera; Cicadellidae. The record is from RNAcentral.